Mycobacterium sp. GA-1999 is the source of this 193-nucleotide non-coding RNA. NCBI's taxonomy places the organism in Bacteria, Bacillati, Actinomycetota, Actinomycetes, Mycobacteriales, Mycobacteriaceae. The record is from Rfam.
ACACAGGGAAGGAGGUGGUCCGAGAUUUUGAGUGACUUAUGGACUUGUGAGGUGGCUGCGAGCUAGCAGCGCCAGGGGAAUGAGCUGACGGCUCUUCGCGCUCUGCGCGCGCUGGCGAAUUCCCCGCAGUCACCCGGCCCCCGAGCCCCUCGGUUUUGUCCGCCAGGAACACACGGCUCGGGGGCCGCCCCAU